This 202-nucleotide ribosomal RNA is filed under the name Mycobacterium intracellulare subsp. chimaera. RNAcentral's name for it is "Mycobacterium chimaera partial 16S ribosomal RNA". It matches the Rfam family "Bacterial small subunit ribosomal RNA", at positions 56 to 260 of the family's 1533-position model. The record is from RNAcentral. Lineage: Bacteria; Bacillati; Actinomycetota; Actinomycetes; Mycobacteriales; Mycobacteriaceae.
UGCAAGUCGAACGGAAAGGCCCCUUCGGGGGUACUCGCGUGGCGAACGGGUGAGUAACACGUGGGCAAUCUGCCCUGCACUUCGGGAUAAGCCUGGGAAACUGGGUCUAAUACCGGAUAGGACCUUUAGGCGCAUGUCUUUAGGUGGAAAGCUUUUGCGGUGUGGGAUGGGCCCGCGGCCUAUCAGCUUGUUGGUGGGGUGA